This 301-nucleotide ribosomal RNA is filed under the name uncultured bacterium. RNAcentral describes it as "partial 16S ribosomal RNA". It matches the Rfam family "Bacterial small subunit ribosomal RNA", at positions 509 to 807 of the family's 1533-position model. The record is from RNAcentral.
CAGUCGCCGCGGUAAUACGAAGGGUGCAAGCGUUACUCGGAAUUACUGGGCGUAAAGCGUGCGUAGGUGGUGGUUUAAGUCCGUUGUGAAAGCCCUGGGCUCAACCUGGGAAUUGCAGUGGAUACUGGGUCACUAGAGUGUGGUAGAGGAUAGUGGAAUUUCCGGUGUAGCAGUGAAAUGCGUAGAGAUCGGAAGGAACAUCUGUGGCGAAGGCGACUAUCUGGGCCAACACUGACACUGAGGCACGAAAGCGUGGGGAGCAAACAGGAUUAGAUACCCCAGUAGUCCCUGUCUCUUAUAC